UCUGGCUGCUCCUCGAAGGUUCGAGGUACGAGGUACGUUAACACUGUCUUCUCCGCUUUGUUUUUCUAGCCUUUGUGGGUGUUCUGGGCCCAUGUGUGGCCCCCCAUUCUUAUGCUAAAGUCCUAACUCUCCAGUACUUCAGAGUGUGACUGUAUUUGGGGAUGGGAUGCUUGAAGGGGUAAUGGAGUGACAGUGUGAUCUUUAGGGUGUAAAUCAUCCGAUAGGACUUCCAUCCUCCUAAAAAGAGGGUAGGACACAGACACACGCAGAGAGAAGUCUAGGUGAACACAGGGACAAGAUGCCAUCGGCAAGCCCAGGAGACAGAUCUCAAAAGAAACCAGUCCUGCCCACAGCUUGACCUCAGACCUCUGACCUUCAAAACUGGGAGCAAAUGAAUUUUUGUUUGUUAAGCCUCUAGGUCUGUGGUAUUUUGUUAGGGCAGGCCUCGCAAUUCAUUACAGCUGGUAUGUAUUAAUCUCUGGGUUAACCUGCUGUCUCUACUUUGUUUGCUCAGCUCUUUUUAUGUGGCCAAUUUCUUAGGUUACAUUUCUUAUUUGAAAUACCUGGAAUGGUUUUGUCUAACUGACGGAAACACUUAUAAAUCUCCUAAGUGUAUGUAUCUUAGACCUAAAAGCCUUUGGGAAGACAGACAUUGAAAAAAAGAUGGGGAGGUUUUUGUCGUUGCUUUUGGUAAAAAGCAACGCUCCUUUUGUACCUAAAUUCAAGAGCUAUUUAAGAAAAACAAGAUGCUCCCCAUUGAAAAUUGGACAAUUGUAAUUAUAACGCUGAUUUAUUUAUUUAUUUUUGGCAAUGAACCCUAGUGGGUCUAAAAAUUUUCUUUUCUCGUCUUACAUUUAGAACCCAGCCAACUGUUUCCUCAGCGUGUGGCUUUUGCUCUGGCUGUCUAAGCUAGUUUGACUUCGCCCCUACACUGAUUUGGCAGGGCCCCACAAACACUGCUGGAGGGAGUAUGAUAAAGAGGCCUUAUCAUGGGUAAACCUUCAGUCUUGUUGAAUAUGCGAUAAAUUUUGCCACCGUUUUGCCCACGCACGGACUUGGAUAAUUCCUCCCAGUUCCCUUAGGACUUCUUUCUGGUAUUAUCUUCUCUCCAAAAGUGUCCUCCUGUCUCUUCCCCCCAAAGAAGGCUCCCCCCCAAAGAGUCUCAGGAUGGAGAUUCUGAGAUAGAGCUUUCCUGGGACAUGCAGGUGUGAGGCCUUCUGAUGGGGGACAGGAAGACGCGCAGCUCCAGAAGCACCAUCAACCAACCCUCGGGGCUCUGACGGCUCAGGAGAGAGCCAGCGUGGACCAGGGCAUAUGGGCUGCCCCUGCCCCGGACAGUGCAUGGCCUCAGACAUGACUCAGAGGUUGGCAUUCAGUACACGCUUUUGCUUAGCUGCCACUGCUUCCAGCAGGCCCCAGAGUCAAUAGGCCAUGCGCUCACCACCAGAGCCCGGUGAGAAAAAAGGUUGAAAGGCGACAUCAACAGGAAAUAAAACAUUUUUAUUGAAUAUCUGUGUAAUAUGUUAAGUCAUUUUUAACAACAAUCAGAAAACUACUGUGGAAUUCACUACACGAAGUGAAACAAAAUUUAAACCACCUCAUCAAAAAUGAAGGUAAAAUACAGCUAAAGUAGUUGGCUCGCAGGCCACGAGCCAUAUGGCAGAAGAAAACACCCCAACAUUUCUACAAGAUACAGAGAAAACCCACACAGAGAAACACUCAAGCAGGCAGUAAAUAUACACAAAGGCAACUAGGAUCUUUCUAGAGCAUCAGAUUCUAAUACUUGACACAGCUUUGUCAGAAAGGUACAUUGUGGCUUAUCGGAGGAUGAAAGUUGGUCUUAAAGCAGGCUCGGUCACUGACUCGUGGAAGAUGGCAUAGUACCAACUAACUCUAUGGUGACAGUAUCCCAUGUCUGGCAGUGUUGUGAGAGAAUGCAUUUGUCGUGCUUUAACGCGAGAAAUGAUGUGUAUUCAGCAGCUCGAACCUGGUGGUUUCAAAGUGUUUGUUUGAGCGUGAACACCUUAAAGCUAAAUACGGUGAACUUAAAAGUUGGAGUCUGGUAGUCAAAGGAUUUUCAAAAGUCAGUCCACUCUCUCUGGUAGGGUUGGGUCUUUGAAACGGGAAGGCUUCUCGCUUGAAUCUUCUUUUCAAACUGGUACUUGAUCGCACAUCAUUUGAAUGACUUGUGCAUUUUCUCUCAUCUACAACUGGGCCGAAAGGUGAAAGGGCUCCCCUCUGCUCCGGUGAGGAAAGAACAAGACAGGAACCCCGUUUUAUCAGGAAACAGCCAACCUUGUGUUGGAAGCGUCUCCCCAGCCCCUGCUGAAUUCUCCUGGCGGUGUUAAAAACCAUGGCAUGAGAGCCUCAGGUCUGAGCAUGAGGUUCAUGCCUCCUUUCCCUGCAUUUCGUUUCGGUGUGUUUGACGCUGACCCUUCACUCAGAGCAUCCCUGCUUUCUGGGGGCUGGGAGUGAAAAUGGGUCAUGGAGGUGAGUGGGACAAAGACCAGCUGCAGUGGGGGAGCAUCGGCUGCCGUCCAGCAAAGCGGUCGCCUACCAAGGUGGGGAGCAAAAGGGACCGUUGCACAGUGCUUGACAAGAUGCUGUGUGUUCCGCCGCAUGCGUUGCAUCGUUCUUGUCUUCUGCAUAGCUUUUCAGUUCGGAAUUGGUCCUUUGUAAUGAGAACUGUUUGUGCUACACACACCUUGGGCAGUGCAGUAGAAGGGAAUGGCAGUAUUGUUACAAUAUCACUACGGAAUAGAUUGAGUGCUGUCCACUGAGGAAACUACGUUACAUGUCUAAGCACACACACGGCGGUCACAGUGUUACACAGGGCAGUCCUUGAAGACUCUUGUGGAAGGACUAGUAGCUUCAUAAUAGUGCCAUUUACUACGUAAUAACAUUGAAAACACUUAAAAACGCCUCCUAAAUCAAGCAUCUAGUAUACAUAAGAGGUUGCUUCAGUUUUCUAGAACUUGUUCUUGUUUCACCUUUUUUUUUUUAAAGGACAAAUUAAAACUUAUUUACGUAAAAAGAGCAUAUAAAAAGAUCACUAGCUGUCUGUUUUGGCUUAAUUGAAGUGCAUUCAGAACUAUGGCUAAUUGUUUAUUUUUUCCUCUGUUGAUGGGAUUACAAUACUGUCUGUUUACCACAAAGUAAUUUUGUGUAAUAAGCACAGAUUGCUGUGUUAAAAAUAUUCUGCAUUCCUUCUAAUCUGGUUUUGUAUAAUAAAAUAUUUUGUUACAAAGUCGAACGUGCAAACCUUUUGGAAUUAUAGAUGUGAAAUCUGCAAUAGAAUUCACAGGCUGCACAUUUUGUAGAAAGGUGAUAACGGAGAGCUACUUUUUUUUUUUUUUUUUAAAGUAGUCAGGCAAUAUUUCGGAAAUGCUGACUUCUUUUCCACUCAGCUUCCUCCCACCCACCCCAUCCCCAAACAAAUGCACGUGCAUGCACGCGCACAUACACACACGGAACAGCAUCGCGUCACUGCUCUCUAGGCAGUAAUAUGAAAUCGUUGACUCCUGUCCAGCUGCUUCCUCAAAUGUAAAAGUGAAGCACUGGUUUUAGCUCUGUAGAUACACACAGACUGAUGCUAUUCUGGUUUGUGGCUAUGCUUCCAGGAGGUCAGGCUUGAUGCUGCUCAGAUCAUGCUCAUUUGCCUGAAGAAUUCUGUAAAAUUGGAUUCACCCACCAAAUAUGUGGUGUCAGUGUAUCUUGGUGCUCAAAUGAGUCAAUAGAAAGCUCAGGUUUAAGUUGUCCUUUAAGAUGUCAGUUUCAUUGUACUAGUGCCUUACAAGUUGAUAUUUUUGCUGGAAUGCAGACGAUACUAUAUUUACCAUAUAAUAUAUUAUCAGCUCUCCUAUAUCUCAGUCCAUUUACAUAGUUUAAAAUAGAACAUCUUAUUAAAAACAUCUAGAUAUACACAGAUUAGGAAACGCUUACAACAUACAAAUACACAAA
This is a non-coding RNA of Sus scrofa (pig), 3960 nucleotides long. The record is from RefSeq and is a predicted model, not a curated record. NCBI's taxonomy places the organism in Eukaryota, Metazoa, Chordata, Mammalia, Artiodactyla, Suidae.